RNAcentral lists this ribosomal RNA (454 nucleotides) under Streptococcus sp. oral taxon 074. RNAcentral's name for it is "bacterial SSU rRNA". It matches the Rfam family "Bacterial small subunit ribosomal RNA", at positions 28 to 467 of the family's 1533-position model. The record is from RNAcentral. Lineage: Bacteria; Bacillati; Bacillota; Bacilli; Lactobacillales; Streptococcaceae.
GAUGAACGCUGGCGGCGUGCCUAAUACAUGCAAGUAGAACGCUGAAGCUUGGUGCUUGCACCGAGCGGAUGAGUUGCGAACGGGUGAGUAACGCGUAGGUAACCUGCCUGGUAGCGGGGGACAACUAUUGGAAACGAUAGCUAAUACCGCAUGACAACAGUUAUUGCAUGAUAACUGUUUAAAAGGGGCAACUGCUCCACUACCAGAUGGACCUGCGUUGUAUUAGCUAGUUGGUGAGGUAACGGCUCACCAAGGCGACGAUACAUAGCCGACCUGAGAGGGUGAUCGGCCACACUGGGACUGAGACACGGCCCAGACUCCUACGGGAGGCAGCAGUAGGGAAUCUUCGGCAAUGGACGGAAGUCUGACCGAGCAACGCCGCGUGAGUGAAGAAGGUUUUCGGAUCGUAAAGCUCUGUUGUAAGAGAAGAACGAGUGUGAGAGGGAAAGUUCAC